GACGAGCGCUGGCGGCGUGCUUAACACAUGCAAGUCGAGCGGUAAGGCCCCUUCGGGGGUACACGAGCGGCGAACGGGUGAGUAACACGUGAGCAAUCUGCCCAUCGCAUCGGGAUAACUCCGGGAAACCGAAGCUAAUACCGAAUACGACCACCUCCGGCAUCGGAUGGUGGUGGAAAGUUCCGGCGGUGAUGGAUGAGCUCGCGGCCUAUCAGCUUGUUGGUGGGGUAACGGCCCACCAAGGCUUCGACGGGUAGCCGGCCUGAGAGGGUGACCGGCCACACUGGGACUGAGACACGGCCCAGACUCCUACGGGAGGCAGCAGUGGGGAAUAUUGGACAAUGGGCGAAAGCCUGAUCCAGCAACGCCGCGUGAGGGAUGACGGCCUUCGGGUUGUAAACCUCUUUCAGCAGGGACGAAGCGCAAGUGACGGUACCUGCAGAAGAAGCACCGGCCAACUACGUG
Molecule: ribosomal RNA, 465 nt
Filed under: uncultured bacterium
Lineage: Bacteria
Description: partial 16S ribosomal RNA
Rfam family: Bacterial small subunit ribosomal RNA
Source: RNAcentral